GAUGAACGCUAGCGGCAGGCUUAAUACAUGCAAGUCGUGGGGCAGCACAGGUAGCAAUACUGGGUGGCGACCGGCAAACGGGUGCGGAACACGUACGCAACCUUCCUUUAAGCGGGGAAUAGCCCGAGGGAAACUUGGAUUAAUACCCCAUAUCAUAAUCGGGUGGCAUCACCUGACUAUUAAAGCUCCGGCACUUAAAG
This 200-nucleotide ribosomal RNA is filed under the name uncultured bacterium. RNAcentral describes it as "partial 16S ribosomal RNA". It matches the Rfam family "Bacterial small subunit ribosomal RNA", at positions 28 to 224 of the family's 1533-position model. The record is from RNAcentral.